Molecule: ribosomal RNA, 384 nt
Filed under: uncultured eukaryote
Lineage: Eukaryota
Description: partial 18S ribosomal RNA
Rfam family: Eukaryotic small subunit ribosomal RNA
Source: RNAcentral
CAAUAGCGUAUAUUAAAGUUGUUGCGGUUAAAAAGCUCGUAGUUGGAUUUCGGCGGACAGGGGGCGGUUCGAUAUUUGUCGCUACUGCCCCAUUUGUCCGUGUUUUUGGCGGAGGUUUCAGGGUGCUCUUCACCGAGUGUCCUGGGGUGCCGUCAGGUUUACUUUGAAAAAAUUAGAGUGCUCAAAGCAGGCUUUACACGCUUGAAUAUUCGUGCAUGGAAUAAUGGAAUAGGACGUCGUUUCUAUUUUGUUGGUUUUCGGAAAUCGACGUAAUGAUUAACAGGGACAGUCGGGGGCAUUAGUAUUCAGACGACAGAGGUGAAAUUCUUGGACCGUCUGAAGACUAACUACUGCGAAAGCAUUUGCCAAGAAUGUUUUCAUUAA